AGAAGAUCUGUGGUUAUAAUCCAAUAUGGCUGUCAAUCUCUCGAAUUAUCAGAACUACUUGAAUUUGUAAACAUCUAGUUUAUUUUUACAAGCAAAAUUUAUUCACUAUGAAAUAUAUUACAUCAUAAACUUAGAUGAUUUUUCUUCCAUUGCCUGAAUUGAGUAUGUGGCUUGCUGAUCUUAUAAUUUAUCCUGAAAUGUUAUGGAAUAUCGUCUAUAAGACAUAGGAUUUGCAGUGCAUAUGGAUACUAUGCCAGUCGGCAAAAAAUUCAAGAUGAAAUAUAACACAAGAUGUAUGAACAAUGGACUAAAAAGAGAAAUACCAACAACUUGAGAGGCCAUAACUACAAACUUCGGACAACACAGCGUCAGAGUUUCCUGUCUAACAGGGUCUUCGAGUCUUGGAACCUGUUGAUGUGGUGGAGGCUGAAUAUGUGAAUGGUUUCAAGAAUUCUCUUGACUGGUGGACUAGUGAUGGUGCGAAUGUGUGAAUUUUCGUUAAUGGUUUCAAUAAUUCUCUUGACAGGUGGACUAGUGAUGAUGAUGGUUUUGAGGGCAUGCACUUCACAGAAGCAUUAUUUUCUUCAGGCAUCAGGACUGAACUCGACCAAAUGGUUGAAUAUGAUUUCUUCGGGAGAAAAUAGAGAUGGAAGAAAAUGUGGAACUGUGAGCAACAGAAUACACGACUCAGGAUGUAGUCCCAAUUAUGGUACACCUCAGUGUUGGGGGUAUUGACCGAGACAUUGUCAUUGCAUCCGCUUAUUUCGCUGGAGAUGGGCCCACAACACCGUCAGCGGAAGUGCAGGGGCUAGUGAAAUACUGUAGCAGUAGAAAAUAUCCAGUCAUAAUAGGCUGUGACGCCAACGCACAUGAUAUCAUUUGGGGCAGCACGGACAACAACCUUAGAGGCCACCGUGGAGGUCCACCUCCUAGCACUGUGGGAAUCACUGUUCUACGUUUUCAUUUUUUAUGGAUUUAUUGAAGGUAGCGAGCAGACCUAGUAGAGCAAGAUCCCAAGAACCGUGAGACAUAACUUAUUUUCUGAAGGAUGAAACCGUAGGCUUUGAGUAGAGUCCCAUGUACUUGUAAUACCUGCGAGUUUGUGAAGUUCGCACAGUGACACAUUGGCAGGUACCAGGUCAAAAAGCUCAAAGGGGUUCCAAGAUUACCUUAGACAACAAUUUUGGGACACCCGACACAAACCAGGUCAUUACUUACUGGAAAACUCUUUGCUAUAAGACAAUCUUCUUCUCAAUUUAAGGUUUGAACAAUCUUUACAACUGAAUUGCAUAGACUUGAGUAAUUGAAAGCAUCCGUUUAAAAUAUUGAUUGUUAUAUGAUGAUAUUGAUUUUUUUAACAAUUUGUUCUCAUUUCUAGUUUGGAUCAGCCGAAUGGAAACUACGAUAAGUGAGGCAUUUGGAUUAGAGAACUGAACGAAGUUCAUUUGAAUGCAGGAAUUUUCAAACUAUACUAAACAAUGAAUCCAGUUGUUUAGAGGAAGGGGGAGGUCUGAAAAAAAUCUAGAAGAACCAGUGUACCCAUCAAGAAUGUAAAUGAAUGAAUAUAUAGUGGAUUUUAUAUUUGACAUGUAUUAAUUAAGUAAUAUGUUUUAAAUUGAGUAUAAACUACAAUUUAUAUUUUA
This is a long non-coding RNA of Harmonia axyridis, 1643 nucleotides long. RefSeq lists it as uncharacterized. The record is from RefSeq and is a predicted model, not a curated record. NCBI's taxonomy places the organism in Eukaryota, Metazoa, Arthropoda, Insecta, Coleoptera, Coccinellidae. The transcript is spliced from 7 exons.